RNAcentral lists this ribosomal RNA (1571 nucleotides) under Chlorarachnion reptans. RNAcentral's name for it is "partial Eukaryotic large subunit ribosomal RNA". It matches the Rfam family "Eukaryotic large subunit ribosomal RNA", at positions 13 to 1482 of the family's 3401-position model. Lineage: Eukaryota; Cercozoa; Chlorarachniophyceae. The record is from RNAcentral.
AGGCAAGACUACCCGCUGAACUUAAGCAUAUCAUUAAGCGGAGGAAAAGAAACUAACCAGGAUUCCCUUAGUAACGGCGAGCGAACAGGGAGGAGCCCAACCACAUAUCGCUCGAAUGCGGGGAGCGUUCGCGUUCGGUGCAGUUUGGGGUUAUGGGGGAGGAAGUGGAUGUGGGUUUGCGAAACGAUAGAAGCCUUCGGGUGAAGCGAGCAGCCUUGUGCAAUGGAGUAAUCCACCAGAGAGGGUGACAGUCCCGUAACCCGCACAGUGCUCCAGUUUUCGUUGUAUGAACUUACGGGUUUAUACCCACUUCACGUCCCCCGAGAGUCGAGUUGCUUGAGAGUGCAGCUUGAAGAGGGUGGUACGCCCCAUCUAAGGCUAAAUAUCUACGAGAGACCGAUAGCGAACAAGUACCGUGAGGGAAAGAUGAAAGAGCACCCCGGUGAGGGGAGUGAACAGUACCUGAAAUCAUUGAAGCCGAAGCAUUGGGGUGUAUCAUACGCUUUGGUGAAAGGAUAAAGAAUACCCUUCUAUUCGUUAUCCCGCGUGGCGUGGCUGGCCCCGGCCGCUGGGUACCUGUUUAAGAGGCGAGACGACCUUGACCGUACAGUCGCGCGCUACUUGCCAAACCUGGCGACCGUGGAUACUCCGAGUGUGUUCCUAGGAUCCCUCCCAUCUGGGGGGAUCCUAGGAACACCCAGGGCACAGCCUAUAUACAGUCUAAUGACCCGUCUUGUAACACGGACCAAGGAGCCUAGUGAUCAUGCGAGUCAGUGGGUGAACCAUCCCACAGGCGCAAGAAACCUGAGCCGGUGCGAGGUAGACUCUCGCGUCGGCCGGUCGAAUAAAGCCAACGAGUAUAUAUCUUGGUAGGCGGUAACGAUCCGGUGUUAGCAUGCUCAGUAGGACCCGAAAGGUGGUGAUCUAUGCCUGGGCAGGGUGAAGCCGAGAGAAAUCUCGGUGGAGGCCCGAAGGAAUGCUGACGUGCAAAUCGCUUCUGUGACCUGGGUAUAGUGGCGAAAGACCAAUCGAACCACCUGGUAGCUGGUUCCCUCCGAAGUUUCUCACAGGAUAGCUGGAGCUCGUGCAGUCACGUCGAGUACAGAUACUGAUUAUGAAUUCGGGGACCUCGGGUCUUCGAUUCGUUCUCAAACUCAGAAUCGAUGCAUGAUACCCUUGCUUACAUGAAGGGUAUCUUCUGAUGAGAGCUCCAAGUGGGCCAGUUCUGGUAAGCAGAGCUGGCGAUGCGGGAUGAACCGAGUGUUGAGUUAAAGUGUCCAACUGCGUGCUGACCUAGAUCCCAGGAAGGGCGUCAAUUGAUAUUGACAGCAGGGCGGUGAUCAUAGAAGUCGAAACCCGCUAAGGAGUGUGUUACAACUCACCUGCCGAACCAAUCGGCCCCGAAAAUGGAUGACGCUCAAGCAAGGCGACUUACACUCAACCGUGGGAGUGUGUGACAGUCUCACGGGUAGGAGGGCGUAGACAUCGCGUUGAAGCGGCACGGCGUGAGCCCGCGUGGAGCGAUGCCUAGUGCAGAUCUUGGUGGUAGUAGCACGUAUUCAGAUGAGAAC